UGGCGAUGAACGGGAAAGCCCAGCACCGAACUGCCGGCCAUACAGGUCGUGCGGAAUGUGGUGUUAAGAAGGGUCUUCCAGAGCAUUAGACACCAGUCAAAGUCCAACUUGACAGUGGCCACAGCCCAUAGAGGGUGAUAGGCCCGUAAGGCGGUCGUCUGGCUCUGCUGACCUCUUCUCCGAGUCAGGUAGCUUGUGAGUGCUGCCCAAAGAGCGAGGUAAACUCCUCGUAAGGCUAAAUACAACCCCAAUACCGAUAGCAAACAAGUACAGUGAUGGAAAUUUGAAAAGAACUUUGAAGAGAGAGUUAAUAGUACGUGAAACUGUAUGGUAGUAAACGCAGCCUCCCUCGAAGUGCAGCAUUGUGGACCCAACCUAAGCGUGCUGCUGCAUGGCUGUCUGUCCAGAGCCGUUAAAAGCCUGGCAGGCUGGUCUGCUGGCGGUGCGCGCGGGUGCAUCUCUACAUGCUUGACUGUAGGAACUGUUGGACUUGGACCGAAGGCCCGGGGUGGAGACCGAGCUGGCUGUAGUGGCUGGCACGGACCCGCCGGUGUCCUGGCUCCUCGUCCGACAGGCAUCUGGCCGGCGCUUAUAGAGCGCAAUCGUUGCUAUUGCAACCGGCCAUUCCCUACAGAGUAGGUCGGCGAAGGCUGCGACCCGUCUUGAAACACGGACC
This 676-nucleotide ribosomal RNA is filed under the name Candacia simplex. Its description in RNAcentral is "eukaryotic LSU rRNA". It matches the Rfam family "Eukaryotic large subunit ribosomal RNA", at positions 87 to 667 of the family's 3401-position model. Lineage: Eukaryota; Metazoa; Arthropoda; Copepoda; Calanoida; Candaciidae. The record is from RNAcentral.